Molecule: non-coding RNA, 486 nt
Organism: Cucurbita pepo subsp. pepo (vegetable marrow)
Lineage: Eukaryota; Viridiplantae; Streptophyta; Magnoliopsida; Cucurbitales; Cucurbitaceae
Source: RefSeq, a predicted model, not a curated record
GAGAGAGAAAGUUGAGAGAAGUGGAAGAGAGAAGAAAGAAGGGGCCGUCGUGGAGUUCAUUCCAGCCAAGACCGUGAUGCAAGGAGUCAUUCUUGGAAGGGAGAAGAGGAUUUGAGUAAUCGAAGUUCCAUUUUACGUCAAGGACUAAGAAGAUUAGAAAGGAGGAGAGAGAAAGUUUCUAGCGAGCCACGUGUCGACCACCGGCGAGAGUAAAAUUCUUUGAAACAACAAAGGGACACGUGUCGCCCACUUCAUGGAGCAACGCAGCUCCAGUUGAGUAGUGACACACGUCCUCUGCAACCCAAUUCGACCCGCGUACCAACCCGAUCCGACCCACUACCUAUCAAUCCAAUUGGCCUGCAGUCCAACCCGAGUGAAUCUAACUGAGACCCGAACUGCCACCCAAACCGGCCUAGCGACCUACGGCUGCAGGACAUGACUCGAGCUUGAUUCCUCCAAGUAGUAUCUUUCCAAGCGCAUGUAGGU